This 492-nucleotide ribosomal RNA is filed under the name uncultured bacterium. Its description in RNAcentral is "partial 16S ribosomal RNA". It matches the Rfam family "Bacterial small subunit ribosomal RNA", at positions 29 to 507 of the family's 1533-position model. The record is from RNAcentral.
AGUGAACGCUGGCGGUAGGCCUAACACAUGCAAGUCGAACGGCAGCACAGUAAGAGCUUGCUCUUACGGGUGGCGAGUGGCGGACGGGUGAGGAAUACAUCGGAAUCUACUUUUUCGUGGGGGAUAACGUAGGGAAACUUACGCUAAUACCGCAUACGACCUACGGGUGAAAGCAGGGGAGCUUCGGACCUUGCGCGAUUGAAUGAGCCGAUGUCGGAUUAGCUAGUUGGCGGGGUAAAGGCCCACCAAGGCGACGAUCCGUAGCUGGUCUGAGAGGAUGAUCAGCCACACUGGAACUGAGACACGGUCCAGACUCCUACGGGAGGCAGCAGUGGGGAAUAUUGGACAAUGGGCGCAAGCCUGAUCCAGCCAUACCGCGUGGGUGAAGAAGGCCUUCGGGUUGUAAAGCCCUGUUGUUGGGAAAGAAAAGCAGCAGGUUAAUACCCCGCUGUUCUGACGGUACCCAAAGAAUAAGCACCGGCUAACUUCGUG